AACGAACGCUGGCGGCAGGCUUAACACAUGCAAGUCGAACGGGUGUAGCAAUACAUCAGUGGCAGACGGGUGAGUAACACGUGGGAACCUUCCUAGGGGUACGGAACAACUCAGGGAAACUUGAGCUAAUACCGUAUACGUCCGUAAGGAGAAAGAUUCAUCGCCCCUAGACGGGCCCGCGUCGGAUUAGGUAGUUGGUGGGGUAACGGCCUACCAAGCCUACGAUCCGUAGCUGAUCUGAGAGGAUGAUCAGCCACACUGGGACUGAGACACGGCCCAGACUCCUACGGGAGGCAGCAGUGGGGAAUCUUGGACAAUGGGCGCAAGCCUGAUCCAGCCAUGCCGCGUGAGUGAAGAAGGCCUUAGGGUUGUAAAGCUCUUUUACCAGGGACGAUAAUGACGGUACCUGGAGAAUAAGCCCCGGCAAACUUCGUGCCAGCCGCCGCCGUAAC
This 452-nucleotide ribosomal RNA is filed under the name uncultured bacterium. RNAcentral describes it as "bacterial SSU rRNA". It matches the Rfam family "Bacterial small subunit ribosomal RNA", at positions 29 to 524 of the family's 1533-position model. The record is from RNAcentral.